UACGAAGGGGGCUAGCGUUGCUCGGAAUGACUGGGCGUAAAGGGCGCGUAGGCGGCUUGCACCGUCAGAUGUGAAAUUCCUGGGCUUAACCUGGGGGGCUGCAUUUGAUACGUGUGGGCUUGAGUGCGGAAGAGGGUCGUGGAAUUCCCAGUGUAGAGGUGAAAUUCGUAGAUAUUGGGAAGAACACCGGUGGCGAAGGCGGCGACCUGGUCUGUUCUUGACGCUGAGGCGCGAAAGCUAGGGGAGCAAACGGG
Molecule: ribosomal RNA, 254 nt
Filed under: uncultured bacterium
Lineage: Bacteria
Description: partial 16S ribosomal RNA
Rfam family: Bacterial small subunit ribosomal RNA
Source: RNAcentral